UUGGUGCUUCAUCCCAUAUAAUCAUUUUUGCUUUUCUAAUCAAUUUGGCAGCACCACUUUGCUUUGACAUGUUUGUCAUAGUUGAUUCAUUUGUUUGAAGGGGGAUCUCAAACCUCGAGUGUGCUGUACGUCCUCCUGGUAAGAUUGAAGCUGCUACGCCACUGGUUGCUGUUGCCAAACCUAUCAUACCUCUUGAUCUAACAUUGGCAAGCAAUGCACGGUAUAAAUGUAGUUGAAGGUUGAUGACUGCAGGUUGCAUUUCAGUCAAGUUGAAUUCAUAUAUUCUCCACAGUGCUUCAGGCGGUGAGACCCACCGCGCAUCUUGGAAUGUUUGUAUUUCAUCAAUAACAUUUUCACCAUCAUCAGAUUGAACAUAAACGGCACACCGAUCAUGACCUUUAUAUAUAUACUUGUAUAGAUACUUUAUUGCUUUGACUCCUGAGCAGACCUCAACAUUAAUGUGACAAUUGUAUCUUGUAAGCAGAUAAGGGCUAUAAGGUACCACC
Long non-coding RNA from Solanum stenotomum, 506 nucleotides. RefSeq lists it as uncharacterized. The transcript has 2 exons. Lineage: Eukaryota; Viridiplantae; Streptophyta; Magnoliopsida; Solanales; Solanaceae. The record is from RefSeq and is a predicted model, not a curated record.